This 71-nucleotide transfer RNA is filed under the name Loxodonta africana (African savanna elephant). It matches the Rfam family "tRNA". From Rfam's summary of the family: Transfer RNA (tRNA) molecules are approximately 80 nucleotides in length. The record is from Rfam by way of RNAcentral. Lineage: Eukaryota; Metazoa; Chordata; Mammalia; Proboscidea; Elephantidae.
GCACUGGUGGUUCAAUGGUAGAAUUCUCACCUUCCACAUGGCAAACCCAGGUUCAAUUCCUGGCCAAUGUG